GCUUUUUGCUAUUUGUUUGUUGUUUUCUCACCGAGAAAGAUCAGAAAGUGUUGUGAUAAUGCUUGCCAUUUAGGGGGCAGGGCCGUUCCUACAUUUUUGAAAAUCCUAAGCGAACUAUGAAGUGGGGGCCCUAACUUCGUCGAUAAACUCUCCUCCAAUCCCGAGCCAUGGGUGAUUACCCUUACGUUUUCAUCUAGUGAUAGCCAGCCUAGAAACUUGGCUUUUUUUGCUAAAUAAUAUUUAUUUUGGGUUCCUUCCAUGAAAAACCAGUUUAGUUUUGAAAUAAAUGUAUUUAUUUGGGCUUGGAAGCCCUUAUUUUUUGGUCGCCCUAGGCCCGUGCCUAGGUUGCCAAGCCUAUGGAGCCGGCCCUAUUAGGGGGGACGGGUCGCCCCGUUAUGGCUCAACUUUGACGCGUGGACCGACGUGAAACACAGCCGCCGGUGCCAACUUUGAAGCGUGGUGAAAAUUUAGCGUGAUGAUGAGCAGCGUGGAGAAAGAAAUGAAAGCAGAGGAAGUAUUGAUCCGAUCUUUAUUAUUCUUGCUGAGCUCCAUUGUUGCAACAACAACAGCAAGACCCCCAAACACUAUCAAGUAAAAAAGCUCCAUUGUUGUUGAUUCUGAUCUAAAAUUGGAUUAAGAUUAAGAUUAAGAUUUCGAUCUCGAUCUGGGUAUUUUGGGAGAGUGUGAAUGGAAAAAGGGUAGACCAGAAAGCAGAGAUCUUGGAUAAGUACAAAGGGUGUCGGUGAAGGAUAAUUAUGGUGAUCUCGUCAUGCUAAGGGAGGAUCUCAUACUCGAUCACCAAAAAUAGCAAUAUUAAAGUGUUCUAAUAGUGGACUAAAUUACCUUCAUAAGGACUUCAUAAGGAUGUUAACAACAAACAAUGGGGCUUCAAUCGUAACAUCAAGAGCUCUAACAAUUGCCUACGUAAGUAUCUUUAAUGUUUAAUAUUUUACCAUUUUUAUUUUGUGCAUAGUUGUCAAAGGCAUGAGAUGCACUUAAGGUUCAAAGGCCUCACUGGGAGCCUAGGCACACGUCCGAGAAAAAAACAAUAUAUAUAUGGGAUGGUUCAUAUGAGAACCGGCUUGAGUUGAGAGAACUCGUAGGAACUCGACUUCUAUUUUUUUCACCAAAUAUCAUUUUUUUUUAAAAUAGCUUUUCAAGGGAAAAAUUUUUCCUUGCCACUUUUUUACAGUGGCAGUUUCACCCCCCCCCCCCCCCCCAGGCGUUAUAGUGAUUUAUGUUGGGGCAAUGAUUCUUACAUGUGGCAAAAAAUUGACUCGUGAUUUUUUUUGGACUUUCUUUCAUAGAGGGGCUUGUUUUGGUUAUUAGACAUCUAUAUAAUUCCGUUAUUAUACAUAUGUAAACUUCAUUUAACAUGUAGGAAAUCAUAAAAAUACAUAUAAUAAAUAAUGAAAGUACCCUAAAUAUAAAAUAUAUCUAUAAAAUGAUUGUUUGUUAAGAGUUUUAAAAGUUCUGCAAUUAGUUAGCGUUCUGAAAUAAUCCUUACCCUUAUAUAUAUAUAUGGGAGGGUUAUCUUGAGAACACCCAAUUUUGUGUGAACAUUAGGAACAAUUUUCAUCCAUAGAUCAUCCUAAAUUAAGGGCUAAGAUUAGAUGGACUAAAUUAAGGGCUAAAUUAAAACAUAAAGGGUAUUAUUGUCAAAAGUUAAAACACAAAACCCCCAAUCAAAUUCCCUCCCCAAAUCCCCAAACGACGCAACGAGCAUUUCUAUCUUCUCCUUCAAGAAAUCGAAAACCAUCCAUCUCCCUCAGCAAAUCGUCGACAACAGAAGCAUCACCGUUCGCAGCCGUAAGCACUGUCGUUCGCAGCCAUUAACACCGUUCGCAUUCAGUGCUUUUGGAAGUCUAAUUGUAUUGUUAUUAGAAGAUUCUAGAGAAAAAAAGGAAGAAUGGUCGGAAAAGUCCACGAAUAUUAAGGAUUAAAGCAAAAAGUUUCUCAAAUACGAUAACAAAUCCAGACAUACUUGAUGACGAGAGUUCUGAGAACAAUGAAGAAAUAGAUUUUGAAGUGUCAUUGAAUGUGGAUCGAGUUAAUACAUUAUCAGAAAUGGAUGCUGAACUAGAAAGACAAUUAGUUCAACGAAUCUGAAGAUGGUUUUAAGAAGACAAAGGAAUGAGAUGAUGAAAGAAAUGCUUGCAGAAGAAAAAAAGGGAAAAACAGAUGGUGAAAAAGAUUACUGAAAAACAGACAAAUAAACUCGAAGUUGCCACAUGUGAAGGCAAAAAGAGGAAAACAAAAGAAGCGAUUACAA
This 2272-nucleotide long non-coding RNA is filed under the name Helianthus annuus (common sunflower). RNAcentral describes it as "hypothetical non coding rna". The record is from RNAcentral. Lineage: Eukaryota; Viridiplantae; Streptophyta; Magnoliopsida; Asterales; Asteraceae.